Molecule: long non-coding RNA, 1116 nt
Filed under: Salmo salar (Atlantic salmon)
Lineage: Eukaryota; Metazoa; Chordata; Actinopteri; Salmoniformes; Salmonidae
Description: lncRNA (ENSSSAG00000092474.1)
Source: RNAcentral
GUAGCUAGCUAGCUACCAGCUCGAGUGUGCAGGUUUCUCCGCCAGAAUGGUAGAAAUGGACAACGUUGCCACGCUGUGGACUUUUUGUUGAAGAACCCCUUUCAUUCUCUGGGGUACACGGAAAAGGUGCGAAUUAAAAGCGAGGCCCGAUCUCUGCCUGAGAUCAGUUCCAUGAAGAAGGAUGAAAAGGUGAAGGCGUUCAAUACCAACUGGUAUCAAAAGUAUAGCUGGUUAACAGGGAGCCUUUCAUCAAGCCGCCUGUAUUGCUGGCCUUGCCUGCUUUUUGGAAAGUCUGAGCCUUGGUCGAAAGGUGGGUACAGUGACCUGAAGAACAUCGAUUGUUCAGCUAAACGGCAAAACAAAAGCAGGGAGCAUAUAAAUGCCCACAUCAGAUUCAAGCUUCUGGGAAAAAGCUGCAUCGAUUAUGACGAAGGUCUGCUUGUUCAAGAAAGUAAAAAGAAACAGAGAAGUUCUCAACGGCUUAUCAACACUACUACAUUUUUGGGCAUGCACAAAUGUGCUUUAAGAGGACACGACGACAGGCAAAGUUCCGUCAACAAGGGCAACUACAAGGAGGUGCAGAGGGUCCAGAGUUUUCCUAGUUAGGUUAACAAAUAAGGAAACACCCCAGACCCCCCACCGCUUUGGGACCUAUGGUGCCACCAGUCUUCUUGCAGUUGUCAGUUAUCGUCAGUUAAGUCCCCUCCUGUUCCCUGAUUAAGAGGUGAUGACUACUCCACUACCAUUGUCAACUUUCUCCUGAGAUGAACUGAAGCCACGUCUCAUGUGCCCGCUCAUCCACUGGCACAUUGAAUGUCUCAUGCACCCUGAGUACCCCUAUCAAUUUCUCUCAUUACUUCAAAUCCUGUCCUGCACUGGUGAAGCCUCUGAAUAUCUCAACUCAUGCCACAUACCCUCAUUCAAUCACUGCUGUGAUCCCUUUCCAACACUGAAAUGUUCACAGACAGAUCAUUGAAUAGCAGUAAAAGUGUGUAUGAGACACAAAAACAUGGUUCAACUACUUCAGAUGAGAAAAUUACCAAAAUAAAACUUGAGAAAGAUAUUGACCCUUUCAAUGUGUCAACAAAAGUUUGAGUCUGUUUUACUGACAGGAGU